Molecule: long non-coding RNA, 721 nt
Organism: Bubalus bubalis (water buffalo)
Lineage: Eukaryota; Metazoa; Chordata; Mammalia; Artiodactyla; Bovidae
Exons: 3
Source: RefSeq, a predicted model, not a curated record
UCUGGCCUGGGAAAUCCCAUGGACAGAGAAGCCUUGCCGGCUAUAGUUCAUGAGCUCUCAAGAGUAGGACAUGACUUAGUGACUAAACAACAAGUAACUCCACUCAUGUAGGAUCAAAGAAUGAGCUUCCUCUACCUAGAAUUUUCUUUAACAGAACCCAUAGCUUCUUUGAGGGACUCAAUUAAGUCAGCCAAAUUUGGGAAAAUAAACCUCGUAAUCAGUGGAGGAAGUAAAGCUCUUGCCAGCCAUCUUCACAUCUCUCUAUUCUCAUCGGCAUCGUUAACUAGCCUCCAAAUUCAUUUAUUCUCAUUUCUUUCUCGAAGGCACCUUCCAACAGAGCAAGCUAGUGUUUGUGACUGAAAUAAUUUUGUGCAAAAUACUUAGGCUCCUAAUGGUCCAUGUGGAGAAUUGCUGAGGAAGGUAUGAAGUCAGACCUAAGGAAAUAUGAAAGGAAAACUUCAAUCCAGAGCAACUGGGAUAUAAAAGGUGAAGAUAGAUGCUAAAACCCCCACCAAGUGGAAGAAAUCAACGACUUGAUGACCACGAGCACAUAGCCCCCCAGACCUACUGGAGCCUAAGGAUCUAUAUUGCUAACCCCUGUGACAGGAUCCUGUUACCUCCAUCAACCAAUCAGAGAAUUAUGCACGAGCUGAUCACACAGUCUGGGAUGCUCCUCCCUCACCUGGCUUUUAAAAAUGCUUAGCUGAAACCAAUGGGGAGU